Molecule: unclassified non-coding RNA, 206 nt
Filed under: soil metagenome
Description: partial contains 5.8S ribosomal RNA, internal transcribed spacer 2, and large subunit ribosomal RNA
Source: RNAcentral
AACCAUAGAAACCUGCGGAGUACCUGCGGAAGGAUCAUUAUUGGAUUUUUUUGCAAAUUUUAUUUGCGAAGAUACAAACAACUUUUUUAACCCCCAAAAAGGAGAAGAUUUUCUUCUCUGAAACAGAAGUUAACGUGGUUGCCUGAUUUUCAAAAAUGGUUUGGAACAAAGUGGAAAUUGAAAAAACAACUUUCAACAACGGAUCU